GAAGGCUGUGAGGAAGCCACAUGCUGUUUUUCAUCUCCCAGCAUUGUACCCUUACUCCUCCUCUUUAUAUUGAAGUAACACAGUGAAACAUGCUGUGUGUAUCUGGGGGAGGAGAGGAAAACAGAGAAGUUGCAACUAUGGGGAUGGAUUUGGAGCAAUCCAGAUUUCAUUUGCCCCCUUUCCACAAGAAGGUUGUGGAAGCUGUGCUCCUGACCCAUUUGUUCUUCCAUUACGCUGUAAUGUUUGGAAAAAUACACAGCAGGAUUUAUGGAAAGUGCUUCAAAGCCUAAUUUUCCUCUCCAAAUCUCCAGCAGGUAUCUCUCCGAGCUCCGCUUCACAUGAAUCUCUCUCUGUUGUGCUCAGGCCUUGGAAUCACCCAAGGUCACUACUGCAAAACACAGCGUGCCCUGAGGACCUCCCCAGCCUUUCUGCACAGGUGUGAGCUGGCUCAUGAUGAUGACAGUAUCCACUGAGGACCAGAAAGCUAUAAACAGUACUAUAAACUCAAAGAUGUGUGUAUAGCACCAGAGGUAAAGCAUUCCCAUACUGACGUGGAAUCUAAUUCCAGCCAAUGAUUUGUAACAAUCAUGAACUUAACCUGGAAGGAGACAGGUAAGCAGUCAUGUGAGGUAAAUGGGCUUUGUCUCCCCAAAGCCUUCUCUCUUGAAAUGAUUUCCUCAUUAAUGCACUCCUUCCUAAAUUCUACUUUAGCUCUCAUUUGCAUUUUUGAGUUCUUAAGGCUGUUUUCAGAUGUACUGUAUACACGCCAAAGGCCAUGUAAAUGCAGGCUCUACUCUGAGCUCAGUGAACUUCAGCCAAUUUAUUCUAGUUGAGUAACUGUCCAGGUGAAUCCAGAUUUCUUUACUCAUUUUUCAGCAGAAUAAACUGUAAUCAGCCUCUCUGUAAAUAUGCAUCUUAUAUACCCAAUAUUAACUAGAUCUAAUCAGCUUAAUUAUGUGGUUAAUAAUAAUUCAAGUUCAUGCAGCAUAAUCUUCUAUUUAAAGUGGGUACAAUAUUUUACAGUAUCUGAAAAAUGGCUUGGCUUAAUAAACAGAUGGAAGAAAAAUAUCUUUAAAAAGAGAAUUAAAGGACAACUCUUGAAUGCAGAUUGCAGCAUUACCCAAAGAACAUUCACACACAAAUCCUUCUUCCAGAGAAGUGCUGCACAACAGGCGUUCACCAACAAAAGGAUUUUCAAUACUAUUUGAAAUCCUGUUCUGGCUUCUACAGUGCAAAUCUGUCUCCUCAUCUGCAGGAGAGCUCAAAAACAGUACAGUUGUGUUCUACUGUGCAAGUGCCAACCCUACGGCAGUGCCAAUUCUGUACUGUAUAAACCGUUUUGUAUCUCUAUUUCUACCUGCUAUCUCUUUUGCCUCACUGGUACAAACAAAUGUUGUUUUGGUGCAAGGCACUGCAGAAUGAGUCUGGAUGCAUUGGCAUACUUCUGAGUUCACUUCCUGAACCGUAUUAAUAUCUAAUAAUUAAAAACCGUUUUCAAAUACUUAAAAUUCAUGUUUCACUAAAGAUGGUUAUACCCAACACCCACAUUUUGACCACUUUUGGUUUAUAAUUAUCCUUUUCUAAUUCUUCCAUAUUUACUUAUUGUAACUCUAUAUAUCAUAUACAGCAUUUAAUGCUAUAUUUUAAACUGCAGACAGCAAAUCAAAAUGCUUCAGCUCUGUUUUUCAUGGUUCAGACAUGUCUGAAAUAUAAUGAGAGCAGGGAUUUGUCUGCCCUGAUUUAAUUACUACAAUCCAGAUAACUCUGUCAAUCAAUUUUUCUCCUUGUGACUCCUGGCAGGGUGAAAAAUGCCUUCAUUAUAAGGACUGAUCAUUAGUGGAUGUGAAGUUGAGAAGAUGAUGAAGAUGAGUUGUUGGGUCUGGCAGAGAAUUGACCCAUCAGUGUCAUUAAGUGAACUGCGGCAAGCCCAGCAAUUCCCAUGGGGCAAAUCAUUGAAUUCCUCAGGAGCAAAGGUCUGUGUCUGUCUAUACCAAAGCACUUUGAAAUGUACACACAUGCAGUUUGCAGUAGUCUGAUGGAUAACUAAACAAUUACACAGGCAGUAACUGAUUUGUCCUUCUCUUUUCAUGAAAGAAACAACCUUUAAGGUACUGUGUUUUAGUUUCCUUUCUAUGUGACGGUUUAAAUAACGUUUAUAUCCACUGCCCUUUCAACUCUGUAUUACCAAAGUUCAGCUCCAAGCUGCAUCCACCUCCCAACACACAAAAGCUCUGUAUUAAAAAUGUUAAUUGCAAUUCUGAGUUCUUUUCCUUCUAAAUACUGAACGACAAGACCGGCUCUCUGAGCUCUAAGGAAUUUGUAAUCAAUGUUUUUCACAUAGCUGUAAAAACACCUUCCUGUAGAGCAGCCUCAGUGACAAGCAACUGAAUGAAAAACGAGCACUGUAUGUUCAAUGUUUUUUUCUAAACUAUGCUUUAAUUGCAAACGGUAAUUUUACGUAAUUGACCUAUUAAUCAUAAAAUAAAAUUUAAAAAAGGAGGAAAAUUGUUACAAACCAAAAUAUUGCUAGGAGAGCAGUACUCACACAGAGAACAUUCUGUUGGAAUCAAAGGCAUACGCAGGGGACCACAAUACGGAGGCAGGGAUGCUGUGCAGGUUACUGUCAUUGUGCUGCUUUUAGAGUAAGUUGUAGAGGACACCGUGUGGGGACUCAGGGCUAUGUGCUAUAAGCCCCCAGGCACCGCAGUCUGACCUCUCCAGCUUUCAGGCUGCAGAGUCGGGCAGUUCUUGCAGUGCCCAUUUCAGCUCCUGUGCUAAUUCUUCCCUGGUGGACUACAAACAUUUACUGAGAAGAUUUAAUUGUGAGGUCUUUGGUUGCUAGCACAUGAUUCAAACUUCAGAUUGAAGGCAAUUUAAACACACGAGUGUGCAAGCAGGGAGAUGCAAAGCAUGCAAGCAACCUUUGGCAGGAGUACAGAGAGAAUACAG
Molecule: long non-coding RNA, 2949 nt
Filed under: Gallus gallus (chicken)
Lineage: Eukaryota; Metazoa; Chordata; Aves; Galliformes; Phasianidae
Description: lncRNA (ENSGALG00010016586.1)
Source: RNAcentral